GAUGAACGCUGGCGGCGUGCCUAAUACAUGCAAGUCGAGCGAACAGACGAGGAGCUUGCUCCUCUGACGUUAGCGGCGGACGGGUGAGUAACACGUGGAUAACCUACCUAUAAGACUGGGAUAACUUCGGGAAACCGGAGCUAAUACCGGAUAAUAUAUUGAACCGCAUGGUUCAAUAGUGAAAGACGGUUUUGCUGUCACUUAUAGAUGGAUCCGCGCCGCAUUAGCUAGUUGGUAAGGUAACGGCUUACCAAGGCAACGAUGCGUAGCCGACCUGAGAGGGUGAUCGGCCACACGGGAACUGAGACACGGUCCAGACUCCUACGGGAGGCAGCAGUAGGGAAUCUUCCGCAAUGGGCGAAAGCCUGACGGAGCAACGUCGCGUGAGUGAUGAAGGUCUUCGGAUCGUAAAACUCUGUUAUUAGGGAAGAACAAAUGUGUAAGUAACUAUGCACGUCUUGACGGUACCUAAUCAGAAAGCCACGGCUAACUACGU
RNAcentral lists this ribosomal RNA (496 nucleotides) under uncultured bacterium. Its description in RNAcentral is "partial 16S ribosomal RNA". It matches the Rfam family "Bacterial small subunit ribosomal RNA", at positions 28 to 506 of the family's 1533-position model. The record is from RNAcentral.